This 202-nucleotide long non-coding RNA is filed under the name Mytilus galloprovincialis (Mediterranean mussel). Lineage: Eukaryota; Metazoa; Mollusca; Bivalvia; Mytilida; Mytilidae. The record is from RNAcentral.
GUUCCAAUGAGGGGGGCAAGACCUUUUUCGGGACGACAGGAUCAGUUUUUUUAAGCUCAGGAUUUGGGAUUGACCCUUUCGGGAUCCAGGAUUUUUUUUCCAAAUUUCGGGAUGUUGGGAUUCAAUUUUCUUUAAAUUCUGGACUUCUGUUCAGGGAUUUCAUGUCUUUAAGCCCGGGAUUUCAGAACCAGGACACCUCCAA